RNAcentral lists this long non-coding RNA (1812 nucleotides) under Sinocyclocheilus grahami. Its description in RNAcentral is "lncRNA (ENSSGRG00000028159.1)". Lineage: Eukaryota; Metazoa; Chordata; Actinopteri; Cypriniformes; Cyprinidae. The record is from RNAcentral.
UUAGCGAUAAAUAAUUUAAAGAACUACACAUCCCAGUAGACUGUUAACGCGACUGGAGAAUUUGGGGUGAGGGUGUCUUGUUGAGCGGGGGCAACACACAGGGUCUACACGCAGCAUUGUGAGAAUUACAUUGUUGCACAUUAUCCAAGGGCUUAGAGACGAUAAAAUAACGCACAGCAGGAUAAAAUCCUAGUGCACAACUGCAUCAGAAUACUACGUGGACGCUGGAAACGACCACCGGCAGAGAAUUGAUGUGAAUAAUCAUAUGGAAGCUGAAUGCUGUUCAUUUAGUGCAACAUCUACAACAGUCUGCAGAAAUUUACAUUCCAGAGAGGAGGUGAAGUGGGUGUCUUUACGUCCAAAAAUUGCCCCAGCUUUAAGAAUACACCAUGAUGAAGUGUUAUGCAUCCUAAGAGGCAUUGCAAGUUUGGAAGGUCGUCCUGAAUCAAGAAGAGCAGCUGUAGACACCAGCAGCUGGAUUUCACUACCAUCCUAAUGCACAGCACCCUCUCAGACUGACGGGUUUUCACUGGCAGCAAACUGGCAGAGAGAAAGAGAGCUCACACAGGUGGGCCAGCAGCAGCAUCCCAGAGAUUAUAGAUUUGGAGAUUACAGGACAACAGCAGGUCAGGGCACACUGCCUUGUUGAAAUCCGAGUUCUCCACCUCACCAAUUCCAUUAAGAGCUGUCAUCGUGAAAUUGGCAAGCAAGCCCUGCGACACAACACAUUCACAUGCACUCGGCUGAUCACGUACUCCACUAGCUGCUAGACAGAUGCAGUGUUAGAAGAAAAUUGGAUGCUGUUUUUGUUUGCCUUUUUCUUUAAUCCAGCUCCUUGCCGCUCAAAUCCCUUUUUGUGCUUGAGCUGUUAGAUUCUUUCAAUCAUCUUUGUUGCUUAUUUUUAUUUGGUUAAUUUUUAUUAUCCACUGACCUGGAGAGAGUCAAAGUGCUCAAAUUAUCAAACCAUGAUGGCAGAAUAUCCUAAAGUGCUUAUCUAGACUGGAAUGUUCAAACCACACAGUUAGGAAGGGAAACUGUUGGAACCAGAGGUUCCUCAUAUUUGAAUCUUCAAGCUGCUUUCAUUGAAGACACCAUAAAGACCAAGGGACAAACGCAGUGGCAUGUCUCCACACUUAAAGUAACUCACAGGAUACGCAACUACCGCUACAUGAAUGAGACUGAAAGAAUUUGAAGAGUGUUGUAGAAUGUAAAGCUAUUCAAGAUGUCUGCAAAAGAGCUUCAUUACAAGACUGGGAGAAAACUCCACCCAUUUCCACCUCUGGUUGCGAAGUUCGACAAGGUGGCUCGCUAGACAGAGCGUACGGCUACGGACAAACUGGAUUACAGUGACAAACUUGGACUCAUAGAGGACUGUAAUAGAACAGACACGGUUGACAGCCUAGCUUGUCUGGCACUGAGAUGUCAAAACCACAGAGGGGGCUAUUCCUCCAACUGUCACUGCAAGGAGAAUAGAGCCGAUCACACACACGCCUACUAGCAGACUGAUUUUUAGAGCCGAAAGACUGGUGUGUGUUUGAACCGUGGCAGUAUAGACAGUUCAAAAGCGUGAAAGAAAGAGCUGGAGGAGAUCCCAUAGUGUAGGGGGAAGAGAGCGAAAAUAAAGAGCGGUAAAAGUCUCCACGGCAGCGGUGACACAUUGAAAGAGAAGACUGUGACAGACUGGAGAUCAUCGGUGGCAGUUCACAGGCGCACAGUUUUGUGAGAUUCACACACUUUUGGGAUUAAAGCCUGUGUCGCUCAGUACACCGAGUAGUACUGAGUCCAGUUUGGUCACGGUGGCAGGGGCCGGUU